GUCAGGAUGGCCGAGUGGUCUAAGGCGCCAGACUCAAGGCGCCAGACUCAAGGUUUCCUUGCCUGUGAAGACGGGUCGAGUGUUCUGGUCCUCUAAUGAGGGCGUGGGUUCAAAUCCCACUUCUGACA
Molecule: transfer RNA, 128 nt
Filed under: Olea europaea subsp. europaea
Lineage: Eukaryota; Viridiplantae; Streptophyta; Magnoliopsida; Lamiales; Oleaceae
Rfam family: tRNA
About the family: Transfer RNA (tRNA) molecules are approximately 80 nucleotides in length. Their secondary structure includes four short double-helical elements and three loops (D, anti-codon, and T loops).
Source: Rfam by way of RNAcentral